CCUACGGGGGGCAGCAGUGAGGAAUAUUGGUCAAUGGACGAGAGUCUGAACCAGCCAAGUAGCGUGAAGGAUGACUGCCCUAUGGGUUGUAACCUUCUUUUAUAUGGGAGUAAAAUGUUCCACGUGUGGGUUUUUGUAUGUACCAUAUGAAUAAGGAUCGGCUAACUCCGUGCCAGCAGCCGCGGUAAUACGGAGGGUCCGAGCGUUAUCCGGAUUUAUUGGGUUUAAAGGGAGCGUAGGUGGAUUGUUAAGUCAGUUGUGAAAGUUUGCGGCUCAACCGUAAAAUUGCAGUUGAAACUGGCAGUCUUGAGUACAGUAGAGGUGGGCGGAAUGCGUGGUGUAGCGGUGAAAUGCUUAGAUAUCACGAAGAACUCCGAUUGCGAAGGCAGCUCACUGGACUGCAACUGACACUGAGGCUCGAAAGUGUGGGUAUCAAACAGGAUUAGAUACCCUUGUAGUC
RNAcentral lists this ribosomal RNA (460 nucleotides) under uncultured bacterium. RNAcentral's name for it is "partial 16S ribosomal RNA". It matches the Rfam family "Bacterial small subunit ribosomal RNA", at positions 338 to 795 of the family's 1533-position model. The record is from RNAcentral.